RNAcentral lists this ribosomal RNA (253 nucleotides) under uncultured bacterium. Its description in RNAcentral is "partial 16S ribosomal RNA". It matches the Rfam family "Bacterial small subunit ribosomal RNA", at positions 524 to 776 of the family's 1533-position model. The record is from RNAcentral.
UACGGGGGGGGCAAGCGUUGUUCGGAAUUACUGGGCGUAAAGGGCUCGUAGGCGGCCAACUAAGUCGGACGUGAAAUCCCCGGGCUCAACCCGGGAACUGCGUCCGAGACUGAAAGGCUAGAAUCCGGGAGAGGGAUGUGGAAUUCCAGGUGUAGCGGUGAAAUGCGUAGAUAUCUGGAGGAACAUCGGUGGCGAAGGCGGCAUCCUGGACCGGUAUUGACGCUGAGGCGCGAAAGCCAGGGGAGCAAACGGG